RNAcentral lists this long non-coding RNA (428 nucleotides) under Gossypium barbadense (sea-island cotton). RNAcentral's name for it is "long non-coding RNA (GBAR_LNC007434)". Lineage: Eukaryota; Viridiplantae; Streptophyta; Magnoliopsida; Malvales; Malvaceae. The record is from RNAcentral.
CGACACUUGGAAGACUUCUUCUUGAGAGGUCAAAACCUUGUCGACAACGGUUAAAAUAAUGCCAAAUUAAACUAGAGAGAUUGAAUCUCAAACUCUAACAUAAUAGAGGGAGUAAAACUAGAAUUAGAGCAUAAUGAUGAGGGAUGGGUACCAUGGCAAAGGAAAACAAGAGCCUUCGAAGAAGAUGAAGGCAAACAUCUGCAAGUAAAAAGCAUAGUUCCUCUUGAAUUCUUUAUAUUCUCCUGAGUUUCAUGAACGUUUUCAUCAAUGGAAGCAUUCGUAUAUAUAACAGCCAAAAACAAUAAGCAUUAAAAUGAAGAAAAAGGCCAUUUCUGCUUUAUUUACCUCAUUAUAUUCAACUUCCAUGUUCAUGAAAAUUCAACUUCAACUCUUCCUUUUUCUUUUUUCAUAGUGGAUAACAGAUUUUU